Molecule: ribosomal RNA, 387 nt
Filed under: uncultured bacterium
Lineage: Bacteria
Description: partial 16S ribosomal RNA
Rfam family: Bacterial small subunit ribosomal RNA
Source: RNAcentral
CCUACGGGUGGCAGCAGUGAGGAAUAUUGGUCAAUGGGCGCGAGCCUGAACCAGCCAAGUAGCGUGAAGGAUGACUGCCCUACGGGUUGUAAACUUCUUUUAUAAAGGAAUAAAGUGAGGCUCGUGUGCCUUGUUGUUUGUAUUUUAUGAAUAAGGAUCGGCGAACUCUGUGUCAGCAGCCGCGGUAAUACGUAGGGGGCCAGCGUUAUCUGGAUUUACUGGGUGUAAAGGGGGCGCAGACGGCAGCGCAAGCCAGGAGUGAAAGCCCGGGGCCCAACCCCGGGACUGCAGGUGUAACUGGAGGGCUUGAGUGCAGAAGGGGAAGGCGGAAUUCAUGGUGUAGCGGUGAAAUGCGUAGAUAUCAGAAGGAACACCGGUGGCGAAGGC